GACGAACGCUGGCGGCGUGCUUAACACAUGCAAGUCGAACGGAAAGGCCCUGCUUUUGUGGGGUGCUCGAGUGGCGAACGGGUGAGUAACACGUGAGUAACCUGCCCUUGACCUUGGGAUAACUUCAGGAAACUGGGGCUAAUACCGGAUAGGAGCUCCUGCUGCAUGGUGGGGGUUGGAAAGUUUCGGCGGUUGGGGAUGGACUCGCGGCUUAUCAGCUUGUUGGUGGGGUAGUGGCUUACCAAGGCUUUGACGGGUAGCCGGCCUGGGAGGGUGACCGGCCACAUUGGGACUGAGAUACGGCCCAGACUCCUACGGGAGGCAGCAGUGGGGAAUAUUGCACAAUGGGCGGAAGCCUGAUGCAGCAACGCCGCGUGCGGGAUGACGGCCUUCGGGUUGUAAACCGCUUUCGCCUGUGACGAGGCGUGAGUGACGGUAAUGGGUAAAGAAGCACCGGCUAACUACGUG
Molecule: ribosomal RNA, 468 nt
Filed under: uncultured bacterium
Lineage: Bacteria
Description: partial 16S ribosomal RNA
Rfam family: Bacterial small subunit ribosomal RNA
Source: RNAcentral